UUAGGGCUGGUUUAGUUGGUGGUUUCCAAUAAGCUCUACAGCCACUUCCUUCACCAAGUACAUGAGUGUUGCUUCAGCAAUCAUUCCUUUAAUUCAUGUCCUUUCUCUCUCUAGAAAAACUCAUAUAUUCAUUAUCCUAGGAGUAUCAGGUUUGCAAAGCUGGACCAAACUAAAGACUCUUCGAGGUGCACUUUGGCUUCUUAAAAGAGCUACCAAGAUUUUGGCUGAGGCAUGUGACUUAAAACUCAGCAGGUGUAAGCACCAGAGACUCAUGCUUCCUUUUCACAUAGCUUGACACUUGGCUGCCCAGGAUCCUUGCAUGCAAGGUGGUAAGGUUACUGUGGGAAAAUUCUGUUGGCUUACUAUCCCAUUUGCUG
RNAcentral lists this long non-coding RNA (377 nucleotides) under Homo sapiens (human). Its description in RNAcentral is "HSALNT0050173". The record is from RNAcentral. Lineage: Eukaryota; Metazoa; Chordata; Mammalia; Primates; Hominidae.